RNAcentral lists this ribosomal RNA (497 nucleotides) under uncultured bacterium. RNAcentral's name for it is "partial 16S ribosomal RNA". It matches the Rfam family "Bacterial small subunit ribosomal RNA", at positions 28 to 507 of the family's 1533-position model. The record is from RNAcentral.
GAUGAACGCUGGCGGCGUGCCUAAUACAUGCAAGUCGAGCGAACAGACGAGGAGCUUGCUCCUCUGACGUUAGCGGCGGACGGGUGAGUAACACGUGGAUAACCGACCUAUAAGACUGGGAUAACUUCGGGAAACCGGAGCUAAUACCGGAUAAUAUAUUGAACCGCAUGGUUCAAUAGUGAAAGACGGUUUUGCUGUCACUUAUAGAUGGAUCCGCGCCGCAUUAGCUAGUUGGUAAGGUAACGGCUUACCAAGGCGACGAUGCGUAGCCGACCUGAGAGGGUGAUCGGCCACACUGGAACUGAGACACGGUCCAGACUCCUACGGGAGGCAACAGUAGGGAAUCUUCCGCAAUGGGCGAAAGCCUGACGGAGCAACGCCGCGUUAGUGAUGAAGGUCUUCGGAUCGUAAAACUCUGUUAUUAGGGAAGAACAAAUGUGUAAGUAACUAUGCACGUCUUGACGGUACCUAAUCAGAAAACCACGGCUAACUACGUG